UACGUAGGUGGCAAGCGUUGUCCGGAUUUACUGGGCGUAAGGCGCACGCAGGCGGUCUGCUAAGUUUGGAGUGACAGUUGGUGGCUUAACUGCCAAAGUGCUUCGAAAACUGACAGACUUGAGGGCUUCAGAGGGACACGGAAUUCCGGGUGGAGUGGUGAAAUGCGUAGAGAUCCGGAGGAACACCAAAGGCGAAGGCAGUGUCCUGGGGAGUACCUGACGCUCAGGUGCGAAAGCCAGGGGAGCGAACGGG
This 253-nucleotide ribosomal RNA is filed under the name uncultured bacterium. RNAcentral describes it as "partial 16S ribosomal RNA". It matches the Rfam family "Bacterial small subunit ribosomal RNA", at positions 524 to 776 of the family's 1533-position model. The record is from RNAcentral.